This 324-nucleotide ribosomal RNA is filed under the name Nostoc sp. CG10. RNAcentral describes it as "bacterial SSU rRNA". It matches the Rfam family "Bacterial small subunit ribosomal RNA", at positions 153 to 509 of the family's 1533-position model. The record is from RNAcentral. Lineage: Bacteria; Bacillati; Cyanobacteriota; Cyanophyceae; Nostocales; Nostocaceae.
UAAACGGUGGCUAAUACCGGAUGUGCCGAAAGGUGAAAGGCUUGCUGCCUGAAGAUGAGCUCGCGUCUGAUUAGCUAGUAGGUGGGGUAAAAGCCUACCUAGGCGACCCUCAGUAGCUGGUCUGAGAGGAUGAUCAGCCACACUGGGACUGAUGAACGGCCCAGACUCCCACGGGAGGCAGCAGUGGGGAAUUAUCCGCAAUGGGCGAAAGCCUGACGGAGCAAUACCGCGUGAGGGAGGAAGGCUCUUGGGUCGUAAACCUCUGGUCUCAGGGAAGAACACAAUGACGGUACCUGAGGAAUCAGCAUCGGCUAACUCCUGACU